Molecule: ribosomal RNA, 458 nt
Filed under: uncultured bacterium
Lineage: Bacteria
Description: bacterial SSU rRNA
Rfam family: Bacterial small subunit ribosomal RNA
Source: RNAcentral
AUAAACGCUGGCGGCGUGCAUGAGACAUGCAAGUCGAACGGGCUUCUCGGGCUUGCUCGAGAAGCUAGUGGCGGACGGCUGAGUAACGCGUGGGUGACCUACCCCGAAGUGGGGAAUAACUGCCCGAAAGGGUGGCUAAUACCGCAUGUGAUCGUUCGUUCAAUCGAUCGAUCAAAGCCGAAAGGCGCUUCGGGAGGGGCCUGCGUCCGAUUAGCUCGUUGGUGGGGUAAUGGCUCACCAAGGCGACGAUCGGUAGGUGGUCUGAGAGGACGAUCACCCAGACUGGGACUGAGACACGGCCCAGACUCCUACGGGAGGCAGCAGUCGGGAAUUUUGCUCAAUGGGCGCAAGCCUGAAGCAGCAACGCCGCGUGAGGGAUGAAGGCCUUCGGGUUGUAAACCUCUUUUGUCAGGGACGAUAAUGACGGUACCUGGCGAAUAAGCCACGGCUAACUACGU